GAUAACAAUCAGAAUAGGAGCCUUAUUAUUAAUGAUGGAAAAGGCAACAUGACAAUAAAGGCCGAAUAUUGUAAAAGAAAUUGCAGUAGACAGACGUUGAGUUUCUACAGUCCUACUGGAUUUCUUGUUGGAAGUGUUCGAGAUCGGUAUAGCAUUUCAUGUUUAGAAAUUAAUGUACUAUUCUUGUAUGAUGUAAUCUUUUUAAUAUAUGCAAAAAACAAAUAGGCUUGACCACUAGAUAAAUCAUAAAAUAACCAGAGAGUUAAUAUAAUACAUAUACAAUAUAAGGUCAAUGUCAGGAAAAUAUAAAAAAAUUUGUAUGAGGCUGAGAAACUGGGGAAGUGCGAGGGUCUACCGAGCCCUUUCCCGGUUUUGAACCGAGUACAAAAAAGUUUAUAUCUUUAUGGCAUUGGCCUAAUUAUGUUUUUAUACUGGAACUUAAAUUAAUACGUUGACAGCUUUUUAAAUCGCAACACAAAAGUAAAAAAAAUCCAUCCCUUAAUAAAUCCCUGAUAGUUAGACCUAGAAAGUAAUUUUAUUUGGCAUCGAAAUAUUACUGUUUAAUUUUGUCUUUACAUGGAUGAUGUCGUAACUACAAUCCCCUUUCCUUUCAUGAAUGUGACCUACCGAAUUAGAUUAUUUACUGGAUUUGUAAUCACAUAAGCAACACGACGGGUGCCACAUGUGGAGCAGGAUCUGCUUACCCUUCCGGAGCACCUGAGAUCACCCCUAGUUUUUGGUGGGGUUCGUGUUGUUUAUUCUUUAGUUUUCUAUAUUGUGUCAUGUGUACUAUUGUUUUUCUGUUUGUCUUUUUCAUUUUUAGCCAUGGCGUUGUCAGUUUGUUUUAGAUUUAUGAGUUUGACUGUCGCUUUGGUAUCUUUCGUCCCUCUUAAAUAAAUCUAGAUUUUUCCUCUUAAAUGAAAUUUGGUAGUUGUUAUUCAUACAGUAUCUAUUUGAAGUUUCUGUUGUGUUCCUUUUUUAAAAUGUUUGAUAUCAAACAUUAUGCUCGAUGAAAACUUUAAAUGAUAUUGUGAUCCAUGACAGAAAACAGCAUAUGGUUUGUUUUCAUAUGACUUUAUUUUGCCGAUACUAACACGAAUAUGUACAACUUUCAGAAUAAUAUUUACCGCAAUAUGUUAUUCUCUUUUCAAAAUGGAGCUACUGAUUUUCCCAAAUUUGUUUUUUCUAAUGUCUAGAUGUUUUAAAAUCAAGGCGGACAACGAGAUACGAGCAUCAAACUCGAUGAUCCUUUUUCUGCUUAUUCAUGAAAACAACGCUACAGGACCUAUGAUAAAGGUAAUCGUCAGCACAUGCAUUAUUUGUAUACAAGAUAAUUAUAAUAAAACAAGAUAUUUGGCAUACGACAAAAAAUAUAACAUCACACCUUUUACGAUUAAACGUAUUUUUACAGUCUUUACUGAUGUACUUUUGAGUGUACUAUAUAUAUGUACAGUUUAACGGCAAAAAAAAUAGGAACUAGCCUCUUUUCCUUUUAAGGUAUUUGUUUUUAUAUGAUGAUGGUUGGAAUACAACAAUAUAAUUAUAAUCUUUAUCGUGGCAGCGAUUUUACUUACAACCACUGCACCUUAACCUAACCUACUUCGAGUGGUUAAAUGAACGAAAUACACAUAUAUGAAGAAUAAAAGGGUAACAGUCUGUUUUGACUAAUGAGAAAAAACGAAAGACGACGGAAUACUCAUAAAUUAGCAUAGAAAACUAAGAAUAAACAAAAAGAUCUCCAUUUAAAACCCGGGCUUAUGUCAUGUUAUUCGGACAAAUAAGCAGACCAUUAUCUCCAAGUAGUACAAGUCAAGUUAUCAGAAUCCAGUGAUCAGCUUUGAAAUGCCUUUCAAUACAUGCAAGUCCCGAUAUUUUGUCUUAUUGUUAAUGUCAGUUAUACAAUGCAUUAUGUGAACAAUCAAUAGAAUCAAACACUUUUAAAAUAAAUUUCUAAAUUAGUUCAGAAAUGUCCAGUUACUGCACAAUAAUAUUGUUUCCAAAUUUUAAAUUUGGUCUUUGAUGGUUUCGCACAUGUAAUGUUAUCUUUUUAGAAUAUGAUGUUUUUACCCUCUCGAUGUAUUCUCCAUUAUAACGAAUUAUACCUUUAUACACUUUGGAAACAAGAAAAUAAAAUAAAAAAAGGUAUAACACAUAUAGUGUUAUGUACAAACAGGAAAAGUUAUCAGACCCUGACUAAAUAUGAUUUGGGUUAUAAUGUGGAAUAAGAAAAAUGCCACUUGAUUUGCUUUUGAAUUUCAGUUAUUUUAAAAAGAACCUAAUUGCAGAUAUGAUAAGUGUAGAAUAUAUAUUGAAAUCAACAGGUUAAACAUAGAACAAAUGAUUUUUUUAUGCAGAUAACAGACAGCAGUGGUGGAGAAUUAACAGCUAAAGUGACAAUAUCACGUGCACAAGAUGGCAAAGUUUUGUAUACUAUCACCUGUAAGUAUGCUUGUCCCUAUGAAAUUUAAAACAAAGGAUAAGGUAUUACAUCAGCAAAACAGUUAACGCUGGUACUGUAAAUUCAGAAAUUAUUGCGUGCAUUUAUUAUUGCAAUUUUGUCAAUUUUAAUUUUUGGGAUAAUGAGAAAAAUCCUGUUUAAUUCAUAUACACAUGAUACAUGAGAGUAAAAAGUAUUGCGAUUAUAAACCUGUCGCAUUUUCGCAAUAAUUAAAACAUCUAAAUAAUUUCUGAUUUUACAAUAAUCUUGAUGUAAGUUAAUUUUGAGAGAUAAUAAUAUGGCACAAUAUAAAAUAUAUAUUAUCAAGUAUAAAAGUAAAAAGACGUUAUGUUAUUGAUGACAAAAAUGAGAAGCUAAAUGAUAAAAUGCAUUUAACUUGUUUAAUAUCCUGUAUGCACUUAGAAAAAUCCAUAUAAAUGAAACACAAAAAUUGAAAGCAUUUACUUAUCAUGUCAUCAGAAUUUGGAACAAAGCGUAAAUUAUAAGAAAUAUUGCAUUUUGUCGUUUAUUUACAAUCUUGAUGAUACGGCAUUGUCUCUUAAACAGAGUUAAUUAAAGCUUUAUCUUAUACAUACAAGGAAUCGCAACAUAUAUUUUCAUGUUGAACCUGUCAAACUUCGAUGAUGGAUUUUGGUCUUUCGAAGACUAUGCGUUUAAAGUGGCAGUCACUAGUAAUCCUUACAGUUCUCAUGUCUUGUAAAAAUAAGAAAAAAAAUAAGUAUAAGCCUGGUACCUCUAAUUUAAUAACACUAUUGCAGCAAACAUAUCAAAAGGACAAAUCAUAUCCUUGGUCCGGUCUGCAAAUCACUAAACUAACUUUCCUUUCUGCUCCAAAUAACCUUUUUUCCGCAGAAAGUCAACACAUUUGCUCAAAAUAAAAAAAAAAAAGAAACCAAAAUUAUAGCAUUGUUAUGUUCUGCGUAAAAUCUUAAUUGGUAGAUAUAGGAAUAUGUGGUGUUAGUGCCAAUGAGACAACGCUCCAUCCAAAUAACAAUUUGAAAAUAAAGUAAACUAUUAUAGGUCAAUGUACGGCCUUCAACACGGAACCUUGGCUCACACCGAACAACACACAUAGUUUUGCACAUCAUAAUGUUUUGAUUUCUACGAUUUAAGAAUCUACUUUCUAUAACAUUUAAUGUCAAAAUAAAGAUCAAAGCUGUUAGUACAGAUUUGUCUUUAGCUGAAUAUUUGUACUUCUUAAAAUUUUACAAUUCACGUAUUACUAUUGUGGUACAAUCUUCUUUCUUAAAUUGGUAUUGGCUUCGUAAUUAAUGCAUAGUAAUUUUUGCUUUGUUUCAGACGUAAAGAAGAUUCAAGUAUUAUACAAGCUUCAAAUACUAUGUGCAGUUCUAUCAAACCUUCAACAGGAUCUGUCAAAACAUAACUUAUGUUGUAUAAUGAAAAGAAAACUUGAAAAAAUGCGCUGCUUUCCAUUGUAUUAUGAUAACAAGGUUAUGUUUUUCGUUCUGUGCUUUUUAUUUCCGUUAGUCAUUUUGAUGUAUUUUCUGUUUAUAAUUGUGUUUGUAGCAUACUUCGUUGGUACUCUAUUUACCGUUCUACUGUGCUUCCGCAGCGAUACAAAACCGGACUUGGCAUGCGUUUUAAAUUGGCCAUAUCGAUUGUGUAAAAAUAAACACGAUCGUUCCGAUUAUUGUUGGUGUUCAAAAGAUAAAUGUUUCAUAAUUCAGAUUUUAACAGUAGGUGUCAUCGUAUUUAUUUUCCAUACUUUUGCUCAAGGAUGGCGGGUAUAUUUACUGUAAAAUGUGGCGAUAUUCUUCUUUUCCG
This 4243-nucleotide long non-coding RNA is filed under the name Mytilus galloprovincialis (Mediterranean mussel). The record is from RNAcentral. Lineage: Eukaryota; Metazoa; Mollusca; Bivalvia; Mytilida; Mytilidae.